CGCAGGUUCGGGUCUCACGUAGUGAGACAACGGAGCCGCUUGCGGCGACGGCCCGAAGGGCGAGCAAAGCGAGUCAUCCUGCACGACCCACCA
This 93-nucleotide small RNA is filed under the name Salmonella enterica subsp. enterica serovar Infantis. RNAcentral's name for it is "partial RtT sRNA". It matches the Rfam family "RtT RNA", at positions 36 to 130 of the family's 130-position model. Rfam says of the family: This family represents a bacterial cis-regulatory element known as RtT RNA. The exact function of RtT is unknown although it is thought that it may be involved in changing the cellular response in relation to amino acid starvation. Lineage: Bacteria; Pseudomonadati; Pseudomonadota; Gammaproteobacteria; Enterobacterales; Enterobacteriaceae. The record is from RNAcentral. RNAcentral also lists the same sequence under 35 other names.